UUUCUUUGUACUUUGGGAGUCUAGCUACUGUCCAGGCUCUUUGUUUCUAAUGAUAAUUUGCUUUGACUGUUCUAAAAAAUACACAUUCGAUAAUGUGUGCCCAAACUCAUUAAUACGAACCAAUUGAGAUUUGUUUUUUCUCCUUUGAAUUUAUGCUUAAAGUCUGCUUUUUGUGUGUAGAAGCUUCACAAAUUAGGCUAGCUAAACAAAUCAUUUUGGUCUUCAAAGGGCAGAAGACAUCGAUCGAUAGAGUGAUAGAGUGCUGAGAAACAUUAUUUCUUCUCUGUUCAACUGGAUUUCUCGUAGGACCAAUCAUAUGGAAACUUGCUGGAACUCUUGGUCCUCGAAUCUCCUUUGUAACUUGUAAUAUGCCAUAGUUGUUCUUUGUUUUGUUCGUUUGUAUCCAACAGCUCUUUGCUGGAGGCGUUUCUUUCGCCUUGUUUUAAUGAUAUCC
RNAcentral lists this long non-coding RNA (454 nucleotides) under Helianthus annuus (common sunflower). RNAcentral describes it as "sRNA HanXRQr2_Chr16g0734551". Lineage: Eukaryota; Viridiplantae; Streptophyta; Magnoliopsida; Asterales; Asteraceae. The record is from RNAcentral.